This 306-nucleotide unclassified non-coding RNA is filed under the name plant metagenome. RNAcentral's name for it is "partial contains 5.8S ribosomal RNA, internal transcribed spacer 2, and large subunit ribosomal RNA". The stretch from base 1 to 105 matches the Rfam family "5.8S ribosomal RNA", at positions 50 to 154 of the family's 154-position model. The record is from RNAcentral.
GAAAUGCGAUAAGUAAUGUGAAUUGCAGAAUUCAGUGAAUCAUCGAAUCUUUGAACGCACAUUGCGCCCGCCAGUAUUCUGGCGGGCAUGCCUAUCCGAGCGUCAUUUCAACCAUCAAGCCCCCGGGCUUGUGUUGGGGACCUGCGGCUGCCCGCAGGCCCUGAAAACCAGUGGCGGGCUCGCUGUCACACCGAGCGUAGUAGCAAUCACCUCGCCCAGGGCGUGCUGCGGGUUCCGGCCGUUAAACAGCCUUACAAAACCCAAGGUUGACCUCGGAUCAGGUAGGAAGACCCGCUGAACUUAAGC